This 838-nucleotide ribosomal RNA is filed under the name Caulobacter sp. AKB-2008-JO49. RNAcentral describes it as "bacterial SSU rRNA". It matches the Rfam family "Bacterial small subunit ribosomal RNA", at positions 8 to 893 of the family's 1533-position model. Lineage: Bacteria; Pseudomonadati; Pseudomonadota; Alphaproteobacteria; Caulobacterales; Caulobacteraceae. The record is from RNAcentral.
AGAGUUUGAUCCUGGCUCAGAGCGAACGCUGGCGGCAGGCCUAACACAUGCAAGUCGAACGGAUCCUUCGGGAUUAGUGGCGGACGGGUGAGUAACACGUGGGAACGUGCCCUUUGGUUCGGAACAACUCAGGGAAACUUGAGCUAAUACCGGAUGUGCCCUUCGGGGGAAAGAUUUAUCGCCAUUGGAGCGGCCCGCGUCUGAUUAGCUAGUUGGUGAGGUAAAGGCUCACCAAGGCGACGAUCAGUAGCUGGUCUGAGAGGAUGAUCAGCCACAUUGGGACUGAGACACGGCCCAAACUCCUACGGGAGGCAGCAGUGGGGAAUCUUGCGCAAUGGGCGAAAGCCUGACGCAGCCAUGCCGCGUGAAUGAUGAAGGUCUUAGGAUUGUAAAAUUCUUUCACCGGGGACGAUAAUGACGGUACCCGGAGAAGAAGCCCCGGCUAACUUCGUGCCAGCAGCCGCGGUAAUACGAAGGGGGCUAGCGUUGCUCGGAAUUACUGGGCGUAAAGGGAGCGUAGGCGGACUGUUUAGUCAGAGGUGAAAGCCCAGGGCUCAACCUUGGAAUUGCCUUUGAUACUGGCAGUCUUGAGUACGGAAGAGGUAUGUGGAACUCCGAGUGUAGAGGUGAAAUUCGUAGAUAUUCGGAAGAACACCAGUGGCGAAGGCGACAUACUGGUCCGUUACUGACGCUGAGGCUCGAAAGCGUGGGGAGCAAACAGGAUUAGAUACCCUGGUAGUCCACGCCGUAAACGAUGAGUGCUAGUUGUCGGCAUGCAUGCAUGUCGGUGACGCAGCUAACGCAUUAAGCACUCCGCCUGGGGAGUACGGUCGCAAGA